This 406-nucleotide ribosomal RNA is filed under the name uncultured bacterium. Its description in RNAcentral is "partial 16S ribosomal RNA". It matches the Rfam family "Bacterial small subunit ribosomal RNA", at positions 30 to 526 of the family's 1533-position model. The record is from RNAcentral.
AUUGAACGCUGGCGGCAGGCCUAACACAUGCAAGUCGAACGAGUGGCGGACGGGUGAGUAAUGUCUGGGAACCUGCCUGAUGGAGGGGGCUAACUACUGGAAACGGUAGCUAAUACCGCAUACCAUCAGAUGUGCCCAGAUGGGAUUAGCUUGUUGGUGGGGUAACGGCUCACCAAGGCGACGAUCCCUAGCUGGUCUGAGAGGAUGACCAGCCACACUGGAACUGAGACACGGCCCAGACUCCUACGGGAGGCAGCAGUGGGGAAUAUUGGACAAUGGGCGAAAGCCUGAUGCAGCAAUGCCGCGUGUGUGAAGAAGGCCUUCGGGUUGUAAAGCACUGUUAGCGGGGAGGCGGUACCCAAAGAGGAAGCACCGGCUAACUCCGUGCCAGCAGCCGCGGUAAUUC